GCGGCUGUCCGAUGGCGGUGGGGAGGGGUCUGUGCUUUGUCAGAAAGGCUUUUUCCCGAAGUCACCUUCUUUGUGGGCCUUAAUUAGAGCCGUCGGAUUAACCACGGUCAUCUGUAGGGGGGUUGAGUUUCGCAGAUGAGACUUUUAGGUGGUCUGGUGGUAUAAACCCGUGAUUGACAGCGAGGAGAAGAGUGCGCUCCUCUCUGCGCCUCUGCUGGGAGGCACUGCAGUCGCGUUGGGCUGUGUUUUGCUUUUAUCUCUUCUUAUUAUCGGCAGUUAAGAGAAAUAAAUUUCUUCUGGCCACGAAAUAGCUGUGGCAGUGGAAAGCGGGGCUGGAAAGGCUUUUGUGUGGAGAUGUGGGUAGUUAGGAGAGCCAAUUUGCUGGCAUUUCGGGGAAUGCUAUCAGCUUCUGUAUUUGAGGAAAGCUGCAGAUACACCGCUUUUCCGGUCUUAUAGUUGGAAGAGAAAGAAAACACGCAUGAAAUUGUGUGGACAAGUCAAUUCUAAUGUUGCAUUGAAAGUGGGAGCUGCUGUCGUAGGUGCUCCUGCCUGUCCUCUGCGUUGUGUGGGAUGUUUGGCGCUCUGGAGAACCCUUUUAUCACGAGAGUGUUUCAUUCCUAAUCGUUGCUUUGCUGUUCUUGAGUCUAACAUCCCAUAUCCCAUGGAUUCUCCACAGUCGAAGUGUUUCUGGAUCGUCUGAAUCAUGAUUUUAAGCCGACAGCCUACUCACGUUUCACUUAAUCUCAUCUAUUUCCAGUGCAUUAGCAUCAUUAUGGCAGGGAGAGCUCAGAAAUGUCAGGUGUAGUGGGAGCAGUCCAGUCAGGCCAAUCUUGGCCUGCUCCUGUCUCCUCCUCACCAUUGCAGCUGGAGGAUGUGAUUCUCUCAGGCUUGCUGGUAUUGCUGUUUGCGUGAUCAGUCUUUAACUCAUUUCUCUCAAAAUGAGCUGGCUUAUUUUAAGCAGCUUAAGGUGUGAUUCCGUGGUGUUUUCAGAUGGUCUAAAUCCCGGCAUUUCCCACCUCCUCUUUGCAUUCUCAGCUCCACAUAUUCCCAUCUCUGUUCCUGUCGCUGCCAUACGAGCUCGUGCUGCCUCUUGCUUCAGCAGCAAGGCAUUGCCAACAAGGCUUAUUUGAGCUGUACAGUAUGGAGCUCUCUGUCUUGAUGAAAUACUAUUUAGCACCAUCUAGUAGUCUGAUUGCUGGAUGCUACUAAGUCAUCAGAUCCUGCCUGGAACACUUAUCUGCUUGUUUUUCUGUGUGUUACAGGGACAUGGAUGUCAGGCCACAUGUGUGAUAGGCAAGGCCACGAAAUGAGCAUCAGGGCUGUGCAUCCCUGAAGUUGAAUUUCACAGCUGGAGGAGUAGUUUGAAGAUGAGGUGACGGUCUUCCAGCAUGGUUAUGUGAAUUACAGAACCUAAACCAUGGCUUACACAAGUGAUUUUCCUUGGAAAAUAAAUACCUGCUUUUGAAAAUAUCUGAACGUGCAGAAAUGAAGUGAGGAAAUGUGGUAGUUGCCAGUCAGCCUGGGCUUUCCUUUGUUUACUGUGUUCAUCAGCCUGAGCCUGGUGCGAAGCACAGCAGCCAUUUGAAUACAAUGUGCAUGAGCCAGCUGGCAGCAUUGUCUGUUAGGCUAGUCAGCAGCAGGAUUCUCUCUUUUACUUAGGUGAUGCUCUGAUCUUUUUUCAGAGUUUAUAUUGGAGCAGUUCUCAAAGGCCCUAGAAAUGAAGUAGAAAUUAUCUGCUCCACAGAGAUUUAUGAAGAAAUUGUCACGACUCUUGCUGCCCCUCUCUGCUCCUCUGGUACAAACUGUGCCACAGAGCAGCAAAGAAUUGAAUAUUUUCAAAAGCAGGUGCAUGAGGAAAGUUGGCUUUUCACUUGCUUGGGAGAGAAGGAAAGAGGGAGAGGAAGAAAAGGAAAGAUGGGGCCUGGGAUUUGUAAGACUAUAUCAGUACUUGAAGGAAUCACUGAAUAAAGCACCUCACAUACAUCUUGUUCAUCCUCUGGCACUCCUAACAAAGCAGUAGCUGUGACUGCAGUAUGUGGAGUGGCUGAUGCUACAGGUUAAGCAGGAAGUACUUACUGGGUCUUGCUCCUCAGAGAAAGAUGUACUUGAGCAAGCUUCUGCAAGCUGCUCAGUUUUGCACAGGAAUGGAAUUUUUUUUAAUGUAUGUGCCAAUAUUGCUCUGCUAUAUAAAAAUGCACUGUGUUGGUUUUCUGAACGUAGUUUGAUCAUCGUAAAUUCCCUGAAGUUCUCAUUUAAUCAUGUAUGUACACCUGUUCUCACUAUUAGACACAUCCAGUUGAUGAUCCUGCAAGACCACUUGAUCCUGCUCUAGUCUCGAGAUAGCUCAAAAGAUGCUGCCUUUUGCACCAAACAGGCAAUCCAUUUGCCAGCUUCUGAUGUUCCCAGAUUGGCAUGCUGCUUUGUGCAACCAGGAUAGAAGAUAGAGGCUUGCACAGCAUGUGUCCUAAUUAUGCAGCAGAUAGAAUAUUUCAUGGGAACAUGAAAACUGGUCUAAAUCUGAAAUAGUAACCUAAAACUAAAGUGUUCAGUGUCAUAAUCAGGCUCCCAAGUUUUCCAAGCUUCCACGCUGAUCCUGCAGUAUUAUGUUAAGCUUUCAUUUCAUAUCCUUCUAGAUAACUCAGUCCAACUUCUUCCAUUAGUCUAGAAAGAAAAUAUAUUGCAUGCCAUGUCUAGUUCUUGAGGGUAACGUAACGGAAUGGCAUAUGCUUCUGGUCUUCAUUUAUUGCCAUCUUCACAGAAUCAUAGAAUCACAGAAUGGCCUGGGUUGAAAAGGACCACAAUGAUCAUCCAGUUUCAACCCCCUGCUAUGUGCAGAGUUGCCAACCACCAGACCAGGCUGCCCAGAGCCACAUCCAGCCUGGCCUUGAAUGCCUCUAAGGAUGGGGCAUCCACAACCUCCAGUGCAUCACCACCCUCUGAUUGAAAAAUAUCUAAUAUCUUCUAAUAUUUAACCUAAUCUUUUUGGAUGAAGUGUUUAAAGACUACAAAACUAGUGCAGCCAAAGGCCUGUAACUUACUUCUUAUUUUGAAAACUUGAGAAUGAUUUAAAUGAUGCAGAGAUUUUGUUCUGGCUUUGUCCAUGCAUGUUAAAGUUUUAUCUGUGUGGAUUAUAGUUCAUCAAGCUAUUUAGAGCCCCCACUGUUGCCUUUGCUUAUUAAGGCCUAACUUUGUGGUGCCACCCUUGUCCUACCUUAGGCUGCUGAAGAGCAAUCACAGUAAACAUCUCUGCCAGGAGGAUGUGUGCUUCAGUUGCAAGCAUGUACCUAUGCUCUCUAGGUUUUGCAGGAAGAACCAAAGAGCAGAGGAAAUGAGUGUAAUACAACUCACUGUGAUAUGCUGUGAAAAAGGAAUGCAGUUUUGCAAACAAAAUCUUCUGUACUGUUGGCUUUACGCUUUCAGACCCACAUACCCCGAAGCGUCUAAAUAUGUCUGUCCAGAUGGGCUGGCCAAGAUCAUACACAGGAUGAGAAUGUUCUCUGUUACAUCUUCAUUGUUUCUCUGAGUUUCUUCUUGACUGGCGACUUGAAGUGACAUUAAAUUCCCUUUUUUUAAUCUCUGGGAGGAGGUGA
Molecule: long non-coding RNA, 3590 nt
Organism: Lagopus muta (rock ptarmigan)
Lineage: Eukaryota; Metazoa; Chordata; Aves; Galliformes; Phasianidae
Exons: 3
Source: RefSeq, a predicted model, not a curated record